GGAUAGCUCAGUCGGUAGAGCAUGAGACUCUCAGGGUUGUGGGUUCGAGCCCCAUGUUGGGCA
Molecule: transfer RNA, 63 nt
Filed under: Podarcis lilfordi (Lilford's wall lizard)
Lineage: Eukaryota; Metazoa; Chordata; Lepidosauria; Squamata; Lacertidae
Description: tRNA.Undet
Rfam family: tRNA (bases 4-55)
About the family: Transfer RNA (tRNA) molecules are approximately 80 nucleotides in length. Their secondary structure includes four short double-helical elements and three loops (D, anti-codon, and T loops).
Source: RNAcentral